UGCCCAGUGUACACAUUAUAAAUGGCCGCAGUACCCUGACUGUGCUAAGGUAGCAUAAUCAAUUGGCUUUUAAUUGAAGUCUGGAAUGAAAGAAUAAAUGAAGUUAUUCUCUCUUAAAAGUACUAUUAAAAAGUUAUUCAUUAGGUGAAAAUACCUAAAUUUAAAUAAAAGACGAGAAGACCCUAAGAGUUUUUAAUAAAAAUAAUGUAUAUUAUUUAUUUUUUUGUUGGGGCGACAGUUUAGCAUUUUAAACCUAAUUUUUGUACAAGGCGAUUAUUUUAAGAAAGAAAAAACUACCUUAGGGAUAACAGCAUAAUUUUUAAAAAAGUUUGUGACCUCGAUGUUGGACUAGGAACUUUAUGGCUAGCAGUCAAAAAAGA
RNAcentral lists this ribosomal RNA (380 nucleotides) under Indoplanorbis exustus. RNAcentral's name for it is "partial large subunit ribosomal RNA". The record is from RNAcentral. Lineage: Eukaryota; Metazoa; Mollusca; Gastropoda; Planorbidae.